CCAGUUGACCGGGUGGCCGCUGGCGGACGAGUAAUUGUCCGCCGGAGGAAAGUCCGGGCUCCAUCGAAACACGGUGACGGCUAACAGCCGCCGGGGGCGACCCCAGGGAAAGUGCCACAGAAAGCAAACCACCCGCCGGACGGCCUCGGUCGUCGGCGCGGCAAGGGUGAAAGGGUGCGGUAAGAGCGCACCGGGUGCCUGGCAACAGGGACCGCACGGCAAACCCCACCGGGAGCAAGACCAAAUAGGGAUGACGCGGGCUUCGGCCCAGCCUGUUUCGAGGCCAUGUCAUCCGGGUUGGUUGCACGAGCGCGUCCAGCAAUGGCCGCCAUAGAUGAAUGGUCACCACGUCGCGAUUCGCGGCCCUACAGAACCCGGCUUACAGGUCAACUGGCAUU
RNAcentral lists this RNase P RNA (398 nucleotides) under Pelagibacterium sp. SCN 63-23. RNAcentral describes it as "RNase P RNA component class A". It matches the Rfam family "Bacterial RNase P class A". Rfam says of the family: Ribonuclease P (RNase P) is a ubiquitous endoribonuclease, found in archaea, bacteria and eukarya as well as chloroplasts and mitochondria. Its best characterised activity is the generation of mature 5'-ends of tRNAs by cleaving the 5'-leader elements of precursor-tRNAs. The record is from RNAcentral. Lineage: Bacteria; Pseudomonadati; Pseudomonadota; Alphaproteobacteria; Hyphomicrobiales; Devosiaceae.